This 423-nucleotide ribosomal RNA is filed under the name uncultured archaeon. RNAcentral's name for it is "bacterial SSU rRNA". It matches the Rfam family "Archaeal small subunit ribosomal RNA", at positions 459 to 880 of the family's 1478-position model. The record is from RNAcentral.
CAGCCGCCGCGGUAACCCCAGCGCCACAAGUGGGAACCACUUUUAUUGGGUCUAAAGCAUCCGUAGCCGGUUUGGCAAAUGCCUUGUGAAAUGGUUGCGCUCAACGUAACCACGUGCAAGGUAGACUACCAGACUAGGGACCAGGAGAGGUUGGCGGUAUUCCCGGGGGAACGGUAAAAUGUUAUAAUCCCGGGAGGACCACCGAUGGCGAAGGCAGCCAACCAGGAUGGAUCCGACGGUGAGGGAUGAAAGCUAGGGGAGCGAUCCGGAUUAGAUACCCGAGUAGUCCUAGCCGUAAACGCUGCAUGCCAGAUGUUGCACGAACUUCGGGUUCGUGCAGUGUCGUAACGAAGGUGUUAAGCAUGCCACCUGGGGAGUACGGUCGCAAGACUGAAACUUAAAGGAAUUGGCGGGGGGAGCACC